UGGGGAAUUUUGGACAAUGGGCGAAAGCCUGAUCCAGCAAUGCCGCGUGUGUGAAGAAGGCCUUCGGGUUGUAAAGCACUUUUGUCCGGAAAGAAAUCCUUGGCUCUAAUACAGUCGGGGGGAUGACGGUACCGGAAGAAUAAGCACCGGCUAACUACGUGCCAGCAGCCGCGGUAAUACGUAGGGUGCAAGCGUUAAUCGGAAUUACUGGGCGUAAAGCGUGCGCAGGCGGUUUGCUAAGACCGAUGUGAAUCCCCGGGCUCAACCUGGGAACUGCAUUGGUGACUGGCAGGCUAGAGUAUGGCAGAGGGGGGUAGAAUUCCACGUGUAGCAGUGAAAUGCGUAGAGAUGUGGAGGAAUACCGAUGGCGAAGGCAGCCCCCUGGGCCAAUACUGACGCUCAUGCACGAAAGCGUGGGGAGCAAACAGGAUUAGAUACCCUGGUAGUCCACGCCCUAAACGAUGUCAACUAGUUGUUGGGGAUUCAUUCCUUAGUAACGUAGCUAACGCGUGAAGUUGACCGCCU
Molecule: ribosomal RNA, 525 nt
Filed under: uncultured bacterium
Lineage: Bacteria
Description: partial 16S ribosomal RNA
Rfam family: Bacterial small subunit ribosomal RNA
Source: RNAcentral